UUUUUCUUUCUCCUUUUCUAAAUUUUAAGGCUCUAAAUCAAAGUAGGAAUUUUCUUUUUGUCUUAGGAUAUCUUAGCAGAUCUUGCAAAUUAUAUAUAGUUGUUUGUAUAAGUGGCCACUACACAUACAAUUUAGAAUAUUAUCUCAGGACUUUUUUUAGUAUGUCACCAUAAUUAAUCAAUCAACCAAUUUUAAAACAAAAGACAAAAAAUGA
RNAcentral lists this long non-coding RNA (214 nucleotides) under Capsella rubella. RNAcentral describes it as "long non-coding RNA (CRUB_LNC002290)". Lineage: Eukaryota; Viridiplantae; Streptophyta; Magnoliopsida; Brassicales; Brassicaceae. The record is from RNAcentral.